UUUGCCCUCGUGCAAGCCUUGUAUAAUUGCAAAUCUUAUUAUUGAUUGCUUAAUUAUACUUGUUGUUGGAGUCUUGGGCGAACAGGGGAGGUCCUGUCCGUUCGGCGUCUGUUGACGUGGCCCGAACCCGACCAAAUAGGCGGGGAGCGGGGCAUGACAAAUUACCUCAAAGAAAACGGCAUCAUCUCUCAAUGGACUCCUCCUGGCACUCCACAACUUCAUGGAGUAUCUGCACGGAG
This 239-nucleotide long non-coding RNA is filed under the name Ananas comosus (pineapple). RNAcentral's name for it is "long non-coding RNA (ACOM_LNC043998)". Lineage: Eukaryota; Viridiplantae; Streptophyta; Magnoliopsida; Poales; Bromeliaceae. The record is from RNAcentral.